Molecule: ribosomal RNA, 496 nt
Filed under: uncultured bacterium
Lineage: Bacteria
Description: partial 16S ribosomal RNA
Rfam family: Bacterial small subunit ribosomal RNA
Source: RNAcentral
GAUGAACGCUGGCGGCGUGCCUAAUACAUGCAAGUCGAGCGAACGGACGAGAAGCUUGCUUCUCUGAUGUUAGCGGCGGACGGGUGAGUAACACGUGGAUAACCUACCUAUAAGACUGGGAUAACUUCGGGAAACCGGAGCUAAUACCGGAUGAUAUUUUGAACCGCAUGGUUCAAAAGUGAAAGACGGUCUUGCUGUCACUUAUAGAUGGAUCCGCGCUGCAUUAGCUAGUUGGUAAGGUAACGGCUUACCAAGGCAACGAUGCAUAGCCGACCUGAGAGGGUGAUCGGCCACACUGGAACUGAGACACGGUCCAGACUCCUACGGGAGGCAGCAGUAGGGAAUCUUCCGCAAUGGGCGAAAGCCUGACGGAGCAACGCCGCGUGAGUGAUGAAGGUCUUCGGAUCGUAAAACUCUGUUAUUAGGGAAGAACAUAUGUGUAAGUAACUGUGCACAUCUUGACGGUACCGAAUCAGAAAGCCACGGCUAACUACGU